This 497-nucleotide ribosomal RNA is filed under the name uncultured bacterium. RNAcentral's name for it is "partial 16S ribosomal RNA". It matches the Rfam family "Bacterial small subunit ribosomal RNA", at positions 28 to 507 of the family's 1533-position model. The record is from RNAcentral.
GACGAACGCUGGCGGCGUGCCUAAUACAUGCAAGUUGAGCGAUGAAGAUUGGUGCUUGCACCAAUUUGAAGAGCAGCGAACGGGUGAGUAACGCGUGGGGAAUCUGCCUUUGAGCGGGGGACAACAUUUGGAAACGAAUGCUAAUACCGCAUAACAACUUUAAACAUAAGUUUUAAGUUUGAAAGAUGCAAUUGCAUCACUCAAAGAUGAUCCCGCGUUGUAUUAGCUAGUUGGUGAGGUAAAGGCUCACCAAGGCGAGGAUACAUAGCCGACCUGAGAGGGUGAUCGGCCACAUUGGGACUGAGACACGGCCCAAACGCCUACGGGAGGCAGCAGUAGGGAAUCUUCGGCAAUGGACGAAAGUCUGACCGAGCAACGCGGCGGGAGUGAAGAAGGUUGUCGGAUCGUAAAACUCGGUUGGUAGAGAAGAACGUUGGUGAGAGUGGAAAGCUCAGCAAGUGACGGUAACUACCCAGAAAGGGACGGCUAACUACGUG